GAAGCGGGAAGAGCUCAAAUUUAAAAUCUGGCGGCCUUCUGGACGUCCGAGUUGUAGUCUGGAGAAGUGUUAUCCGCGUCGGACCGUGUACAAGUCUCCUGGAACGGAGCGUCAUAGAGGGUGAGAAUCCCGUCCAUGACACGGACGCCCGAUGCUAUGUGAGGCACUCUCAAAGAGUCGAGUUGUUUGGGAAUGCAGCUCAAAAUGGGUGGUAAAUUCCAUCUAAAGCUAAAUAUUGGCGAGAGACCGAUAGCGAACAAGUACCGUGAGGGAAAGAUGAAAAGCACUUUGGAAAGAGAGUUAAACAGUACGUGAAAUUGUUGAAAGGGAAACGCUUGAAGUCAGUCGCGUCCCGCGGAACUCAGCCUGGUUUCGACCUGGUGUACUUUCCAUGUGGACGGGUCAACAUCAAUUUCGGCCGGUGGACAAGGGCGAGGGGAAUGUAGCGUUGCUUCGGCGACGUGUUAUAGCCCCCCGUCGUAUACACUGGUUGGGAUUGAGGACCGCAGCACGCCCUUGUGGCCGGGGGUUCGCCCCACGUAACGUGCUUAGGAUGUUGGCAUAAUGGCUUUAAGCGACCCGUCUUGAAACACGGACCAAGGAGUCUAACAUGCUUGCGAGUGUUUGGGUGGAAAACCCUUGCGCGUAAUGAAAGUGAAAGUUGGGAACCUCCGCGAGGGGGGCGCCCCCCCCCUCGCGGAGGUGCACCGACGCCCGGCCCUGACGUUCUCUGACGGUGCCGCGGUAGAGCACGUAUGUUGGGACCCGAAAGAUGGUGAACUAUGCCUGAAUAGGGCGAAGCCAGAGGAAACUCUGGUGGAGGCUCGUAGCGAUUCUGACGUGCAAAUCGAUCGUCAAAUUUGGGUAUAGGGGCGAAAGAUAA
This 883-nucleotide ribosomal RNA is filed under the name Sanghuangporus alpinus. Its description in RNAcentral is "partial large subunit ribosomal RNA". It matches the Rfam family "Eukaryotic large subunit ribosomal RNA", at positions 95 to 933 of the family's 3401-position model. The record is from RNAcentral. Lineage: Eukaryota; Fungi; Basidiomycota; Agaricomycetes; Hymenochaetales; Hymenochaetaceae.